RNAcentral lists this ribosomal RNA (236 nucleotides) under uncultured Staphylococcus sp. Its description in RNAcentral is "partial 16S ribosomal RNA". It matches the Rfam family "Bacterial small subunit ribosomal RNA", at positions 104 to 334 of the family's 1533-position model. The record is from RNAcentral. Lineage: Bacteria; Bacillati; Bacillota; Bacilli; Caryophanales; Staphylococcaceae.
GGGUGAGUAACACGUGGAUAACCUACCUAUAAGACUGGGAUAACUUCGGGAAACCGGAGCUAAUACCGGAUAAUAUUUUGAACCGCAUGGUUCAAAAGUGAAAGACGGUCUUGCUGUCACUUAUAGAUGGAUCCGCGCUGCAUUAGCUAGUUGGUAAGGUAACGGCUUACCAAGGCAACGAUGCAUAGCCGACCUGAGAGAGUGAUCGGCCACACUGGAACUGAGACACGGUCCAG